UUUACGGAGAGUUUGAUCCUGGCUCAGGAUGAACGCUGGCGGCGUGCUUAACACAUGCAAGUCGAACGGUGAA
RNAcentral lists this ribosomal RNA (73 nucleotides) under Microbacterium sp. RNAcentral describes it as "partial 16S ribosomal RNA". It matches the Rfam family "Bacterial small subunit ribosomal RNA", at positions 1 to 73 of the family's 1533-position model. Lineage: Bacteria; Bacillati; Actinomycetota; Actinomycetes; Micrococcales; Microbacteriaceae. The record is from RNAcentral. RNAcentral also lists the same sequence under 4 other names.